AAAUCUGUAAAAGAAAGAAGAAGAGACCAAGAGUGACAGUGGGACGAGUGAGGAAGAAAUUGAAGACCAUAAAUUGAAGAAAGUUGGCGCCGUAUCAUCAGAGUCCGAAGAAGAUGAAGAUGAAGAGGUGGGAAGUGAUAAUUCACUGGCAAGUACGUCCGAUUCCGCUUCGGAUUCUGAUUCUGAUGAUGAAAUGGACGAAGUUUCUUCAGAGGAGGAAGACACUUUCAUUCAGAAAGAGGAUGUGCCUGAGAUUGACAAGGAAACUA
This 269-nucleotide unclassified non-coding RNA is filed under the name Hevea brasiliensis (rubber tree). The record is from RNAcentral. Lineage: Eukaryota; Viridiplantae; Streptophyta; Magnoliopsida; Malpighiales; Euphorbiaceae.